GCAAGAAUGAAACUCAAAGGAAUUGACGGGGGCCCGCACAAGCGGAGGAACAUGUGGUUUAAUUCGAUGAUACGCGAGGAACCUUACCUGGGCUUAAAUGUAGACUGAUCGUAGCAGAAAUGUUAUUUCCCUUCGGGGCAAUUUACAAGGUGCUGCAUGGCUGUCGUCAGCUCGUGCCGUGAGGUGUCGGGUUAAGUCCCAUAACGAGCGCAACCCCUAUCAUUAGUUGCCAGCGCGUCAAGGCGGGGACUCUAAUGAGACUGCCACCGUAAGGUGAGAGGAAGGUGGGGAUGACGUCAAGUCAGCACGGCCCUUAUGUCCAGGGCUACACGCGUGUUACAAUGGUUGGUACAAAGGGCAGCUACCUGGCGACAGGAUGCUAAUCUCCAAAACCAAUCUCAGUUCGGAUCGGAGUCUGCAACUCGACUCCGUGAAGUUGGAUUCGCUAGUAAUCGCGCAUCAGCAAUGGCGUGGUGAAUACGUUCCCGGGCCUUGUACACACCGCCCGUCAAGCCAUGGAAGCUGGGGGUACCUGAAGUCCGUUACCGCAAGGUUCGGCCUAGGGUAAAACUAGUAACUAGGGCUAAGUCGUAACAAGGUA
This 601-nucleotide ribosomal RNA is filed under the name uncultured bacterium. Its description in RNAcentral is "bacterial SSU rRNA". It matches the Rfam family "Bacterial small subunit ribosomal RNA", at positions 888 to 1498 of the family's 1533-position model. The record is from RNAcentral.